UUUUGGAGAAAACCAAAUUCCUCCUUUGAAAAAACCAGCCCGUGCGCCUAAAAAUUGGAAUUCACGCUGCAGUGUGACCUAUGACAGAAAAGCUCUUGUAAUCAAAGAAAGAUUCUUUUUCCUGGCUCCAUUCACUAUCCAAGAAGCUCACCUGAUAUGUGGGAGGGGCUUAUACAAAAGGCUAAAGAUGGAGGGUUAGAUGCUAUUGAUACUUAUGUAUUUUGGGACCUUCAUGAACCUUCACCUGGAAAUUAUAAUUUUGAGGGAAGAUGUGAUUUAAUAAGGUUCAUCAAGUUGGUACAUGAAGCGGGGCUGUAUCUGCAUCUUCGUAUUGGGCCUUAUAUUUGUGCUGAAUGGAAUUUUGGAAUUUGUUGAGAAGUGCUUCAAGCGAGGGGUAAAUAUGUCCAAAUAAAUGCAAGUAAUUGUUUAAGAUGUGAAAAAGAAAAGGUCAACCCGCCACAUCAGCAACAACUAACGGAAUGGAAACGGAGGGGUUAUUUUGUUACGUUUCGUAGUUCAGGGAGGUGUUUGCGACCAACCCCAUAGUUCAGGGCUGCAAACUGUACUUUCCCCUUAUUAUUAUUAUUAUAAUAAUAAUAAUAAUUAUUAUUAUUAU
Erythranthe guttata (spotted monkey flower) is the source of this 616-nucleotide non-coding RNA. NCBI's taxonomy places the organism in Eukaryota, Viridiplantae, Streptophyta, Magnoliopsida, Lamiales, Phrymaceae. The record is from RefSeq and is a predicted model, not a curated record.